Molecule: ribosomal RNA, 365 nt
Filed under: uncultured bacterium
Lineage: Bacteria
Description: bacterial SSU rRNA
Rfam family: Bacterial small subunit ribosomal RNA
Source: RNAcentral
UAGCCGGCCUGAGAGGGUGACCGGCCACACUGGGACUGAGACACGGCCCAGACUCCUACGGGAGGCAGCAGUGGGGAAUAUUGCACAAUGGACGAAAGUCUGAUGCAGCAACGCCGCGUGAGGGACGAAGGCCUUCGGGUUGUAAACCUCUUUUAGCAGGGAAGAAGCGAAAGUGACGGUACCUGCAGAAAAAGCACCGGCUAACUACGUGCCAGCAGCCGCGGUAAUACGUAGGGUGCAAGCGUUGUCCGGAAUUAUUGGGCGUAAAGAGCUCGUAGGCGGUUUGUCGCGUCUGCUGUGAAAAUUCGAGGCUCAACCUCGAACUUGCAGUGGGUACGGGCAGGCUAGAGUGCAGUAGGGGAGAU